This 840-nucleotide ribosomal RNA is filed under the name uncultured bacterium. Its description in RNAcentral is "bacterial SSU rRNA". It matches the Rfam family "Bacterial small subunit ribosomal RNA", at positions 76 to 905 of the family's 1533-position model. The record is from RNAcentral.
CUCUUCGGGGAUGAUUAAACCGGCGCACGGGUGAGUAACACGUGAGUGACCUGCCUUUUAGACUGGAACAACUUACCGAAAGGUGAGCUAAUGCCGGAUGAGUUAUAUAAGUGCAUGUUUAUAUAGGAAAAGUUGGGGAGACCUGACGCUGAAAGAUGGACUCGCGUCCCAUUAGCUAGUUGGUAGGGUAAUGGCCUACCAAGGCGACGAUGGGUAGCCGGCCUGAGAGGGUGGCCGGCCACACUGGGACUGAGACACGGCCCAGACUCCUACGGGAGGCAGCAGUGGGGAAUUUUGCGCAAUGCUCGUAAGAGUGACGCAGCGACGCCGCGUGAAUGACGAAGGCCUUCGGGUCGUAAAGUUCUUUCGACAGGGAAGAAAAUGCCUAUAAGUAACUGUGUAUGUAUUGACGGUACCUGUAUAAGCAGCCCCGGCUAACUCCGUGCCAGCAGCCGCGGUAAUACGGAGGGGGCGAGCGUUGUUCGGAGUGACUGGGCGUAAAGAGCACGUAGGCGGUGUUGUAAGUCAUUAGUCAAAGACUAGAGCUCAACUUUAGUAAGGCUAGUGAUACUAUAAUACUAGAGUAUCAGAGAGGAUUGCAGAAUUCCUGGUGUAGCGGUGAAAUGCGUAGAUAUCAGGAGGAAUACCGUUAGCGAAGGCGGCAAUCUGGCUGGAAACUGACGCUGAGGUGCGAAAGCGUGGGUAGCAAACAGGAUUAGAUACCCUGGUAGUCCACGCUGUAAACGAUGGAUGCUAGGUGUUGGGCUUUUAAGUUCAGUGCCGCAGCAAACGCGAUAAGCAUCCCGCCUGGGGAGUACGUUUGCAAGAAUGAAACUCAAA